This 1255-nucleotide ribosomal RNA is filed under the name Niphanda fusca. RNAcentral describes it as "partial 16S ribosomal RNA". The record is from RNAcentral. Lineage: Eukaryota; Metazoa; Arthropoda; Insecta; Lepidoptera; Lycaenidae.
UAAGUAAAAAUUAAUAAUUUAAAUUUAAUAAAAGUAAUUUUAAUAUUAAAAUAGGGGGUUAAAGUAUUUUAAUAGAAAAAAUUAGAAAAUUUAUAGUUAAUUAGUAUAGUAAUAGAAUUUUGAAAUAAUUGAAAAUUGAAUUUAAUGAAAAGUAAAUUUUAUUUAUUGUAUCUUGUGUAUCAGAGUUUAUUAAAUAAUAUUUAAGAUUUUAAACAUCUCGAAUUUAAAAGAGUUAAUUAAUUAAUAAAUUUAAUGUAAAAUAAUUAUUUUUAAUAAUUAAUUAGAAAUGAAAUGUUAUUCGUUUUUAAAAAUAUCUAGUUAUUUUAGAAAAAAAUUUAAUUUUAAAUUUAUUUAAAAUUAAAUUAAUUGUUUAAUUUAAUUUAAUUUAAAUUUUAUAAUUUAAGGGAUAAGCUUUAAAUUAAAUAUUUAUAAUAAAUUAUUUUAAUUUAAAAUUUUUAAAAUUUAAAUUGUUUAAAAAUUAAAAUUUUUUAUAAAAAAUUUUAAAAUAAAUAAGAUUUAAUAAAAUUUAAUUUUUUAUAAAAUUAUAUUUAAAAAUUAUUCAUAAUUAAAAAUAAUGAUAAAAUUAGUAUAAUAAAUAUAUAUAUAUAUAUAUAUAUAUUAUUUACAAUUAAAUUAAAGGAAUUCGGCAAAUUUUUAUAUUCACCUGUUUAACAAAAACAUGUCUUUUUGAUUUAAUUUAAAGUCUAAUCUGCCCACUGAUUUAUAUUAAAGGGCUGCAGUAAUUUGACUGUACAAAGGUAGCAUAAUCAUUAGUCUUUUAAUUGAAGACUUGUAUGAAAGAUUUGAUGAAAUAUAAACUGUCUCUAUUUUAUUUAUAAAAUUUAAUUUUUUAGUCAAAAAGCUAAAAUAAAUUUAAAAGACGAGAAGACCCUAUAGAGUUUUAUAAUGUUAAUUUUUUAGUAUUUAUAUAAAAUUUUAAUAUUAAAUUAUUUAUAUUAUUUUAUUGGGGUGAUAAAAAAAUUUAUAGAACUUUUUAUAUGUUUAUACAAAAAUAAGUGAAUUAUUGAUCCUAGAUUAAGAUUAAAAGAAAAAAUUACCUUAGGGAUAACAGCGUAAUUUUUUUUUUUAGUACAAAUAAAAAGAAAAGUUUGCGACCUCGAUGUUGGAUUAAGAUAAAAUUUAAAUGUAGAAGUUUAAAAUUUUGAUCUGUUCGAUCAUUAAAAUCUUACAUGAUCUGAGUUCAAACCGGUGUAAGCCAGGUUGGUUUCUAUCUUUAAAAAAAAAAAAUAUUUUA